AGAGUUUGAUCCUGGCUCAGGACGAACGCUGGCGGCGUGCCUAAUACAUGCAAGUCGAGCGGAUCUCUGAAGGAGCUUGCUUCUGAUGAGAUUAGCGGCGGACGGGUGAGUAACACGUAGGCAACCUGCCCCUUAGAUCGGGAUAACAUUCGGAAACGAAUGCUAAGACCGGAUAGACAAUGUGGCCGCAUGGCCGGAUU
This 200-nucleotide ribosomal RNA is filed under the name uncultured bacterium. Its description in RNAcentral is "partial 16S ribosomal RNA". It matches the Rfam family "Bacterial small subunit ribosomal RNA", at positions 8 to 200 of the family's 1533-position model. The record is from RNAcentral.